CGGGGGGGGCAAGCGUUGUUCGGAAUUACUGGGCGUAAAGGGCGCGUAGGCGGUUUGCUAAGUUGGAUGUGAAAACUCUGGGCUUAACCCAGAGCCUGCAUCCAAAACUGGCAAACUUGAGUACUGGAGGGGAAAGCGGAAUUCCUGGUGUAGCGGUGAAAUGCGUAGAUAUCAGGAGGAACACCGGUGGCGAAGGCGGCUUUCUGGACAGUAACUGACGCUGAGGCGCGAAAGCUAGGGGAGCAAACAGGAUUAGAUACCCUGGUAGUCCUAGCCCUAAACGAUGGAUACUUGGUGUGAGGGGGAUUGAAUCCCUUCGUGCCGUAGCUAACGCAAUAAGUAUCCCGCCUGGGGAGUACGGUCGCAAGGCUG
This 372-nucleotide ribosomal RNA is filed under the name uncultured organism. RNAcentral's name for it is "bacterial SSU rRNA". It matches the Rfam family "Bacterial small subunit ribosomal RNA", at positions 526 to 896 of the family's 1533-position model. The record is from RNAcentral.